GGCAGGCACAAUGCCUGGUGAGUCAGGGGUUUAUUGAAGAAACAAAAUGAGGAGACUGGGUUUGGUAAUGCUAGUUCUGCUGCUGCUGACAGCAGUGCAAGCUGAUGACACAAAGGUUCAGGGCUGAACCUGUGGCUACAGAGGGGCUUGCCGCAAGUACUGCUAUGCCCAGGAGUACAUGGUUGGUUACCAUGGCUGCCCACGCAGAUUAAGAUGCUGUGCUUUGCGUUUCUAACCUGGCAUGAUACAUGACUGCAGGAGAUCAACAUAAACAAUCUGGAGCCAAAUUCUGUGACCUUUUUUUUAUCAGAAUGCAUUUGGGAACUAGGAAUAUUAACCUAUACUAUAACUGCUAUGAGGAUCCCGUUUCAUAUCAAAAUAGUGCAUUAGUGCUUCCUAACAAGGGACUAGUCUCUGUUGAGGCAAGCACACAUUCAGUAUGAACAUGUAAUGCAUCUCUGCUUAGUAUUGGCUUUAAUUGGAUUAGAGAAGUCAUAACAGCUCUAGUUUUAUGCUUGUCACGCCAUGCCUGGCAUUGUGAAGUUCCAGGACAAUAACAAUUCACUUACCCAAAUUCUGUCUGUUAGCACUAUGCAUACCAUUAAAAUCAUUUUAAAGUUUGUUGUUCAUAGAUAUUACUGGUGUGAAGAAAAUGUUUGAAGCGUUUUCCUUGUGAACUCUUAUAUUUGUGACAAGACAUCUGAUUAAUUGUAUUCCAUUCAUUAUCUAACUGUAUUAGUUCAAAUACAAUAAAAUACUUUUUACUGUU
Molecule: long non-coding RNA, 769 nt
Organism: Oncorhynchus tshawytscha (Chinook salmon)
Lineage: Eukaryota; Metazoa; Chordata; Actinopteri; Salmoniformes; Salmonidae
Exons: 3
Source: RefSeq, a predicted model, not a curated record